ACUUCUAUCCUGUUAGGUCAUCAAUGGCAAAGCUAUACAAAGGGUUGGCUUCCCAGUGUGCAAAUGCUGGCCAAGAUGCUUCCCCCACUGCAGGCCCUGAGGCUGUCCGAGACGGUGGGAUCCACUCAGAAGAGAUUCUGCAACCCUACCCAUCUGCUCCCAGUUCUGGCCCCACUGUCACGUAAGCACCUAUUGCUAUGGAAAGGCUGAUGGCAAUGCCCUUAGUCCCAGGCAGUUUGUGUGGGUUAGUAGGCUGAUCUGGAAAGGAGUAUGAUCUACAGAACUCUUCCUCUUUACCCCAUCAGGCCUAUCUGUGACAGCUAAGCAGUUGACCAGUUGCUUUGAUCCAAGAGAAAGACACUAAUUUUGAGGGACUGGCCUACAGUGGGAAUAGAGGCAGAACGUGGAAGUUUACUUUGUGGAUUACUCCAACUCUUGAGACAGUAAUAAAGCCUUUUAUCUUCCUUGAAGUGCAACAAACAGAGCUCCAAAAUAAAAUCUCUAGCAUUUUAUCCCAGACUGAACAACAUGGCUAUCAUAACACUCCGUGCAAAGAAAAGAAAAUUCAAUAACAAUCUUCAAAGGUAGAAGAGUCAGAUCAAGAUUUCAUUUCACUAUUUCUUUUCACAUCUAUAAAUGUAAG
Molecule: long non-coding RNA, 643 nt
Filed under: Marmota monax (woodchuck)
Lineage: Eukaryota; Metazoa; Chordata; Mammalia; Rodentia; Sciuridae
Source: RNAcentral